CAGAGACUGGCCAUGCUCCAGAUGGGGAUUCUCCGGGCAGCCUGGGUCCCAGAGUGAAGCUGCACAGAGCUGAGCCCCCAGCUGACCUGCAAUGAACACCCAGUGAUCUCCCCUCUCUGGCUCCAGUGUCUUCAGCAGUAACUCAUCAACACAGUACAGUCACAUCACAGGCCCAUCACCUGAGAAGCACCACAACCAGUCUACUCCAGGAAUGAAGAUCUUUCAGCUGCUGAGUGGUGUGGAUGGAUAAAGAGCCUGGCUGACUGGUUUAGGAGACAAUCCAGAUUUAGCAAGAACCUCUGCUUCACAUUUUCAUCUUAAGGAGAGGUCUUCUCUGCUAAAGUCGAAUGGAAAAUGAAAUUACCUGCUAAUUCAGGCAAGAAAAAUCUCAGCUCCCUACUCUCAUAAAUUUGUGAAAAUUGCUUAAAAACAA
This is a long non-coding RNA of Aethalodelphis obliquidens (Pacific white-sided dolphin), 433 nucleotides long. RefSeq lists it as uncharacterized. The record is from RefSeq and is a predicted model, not a curated record. NCBI's taxonomy places the organism in Eukaryota, Metazoa, Chordata, Mammalia, Artiodactyla, Delphinidae. The transcript is spliced from 3 exons.